AGUGAACGCUGGCGGUAGGCCUAACACAUGCAAGUCGAACGGCAGCACAGUAAGAGCUUGCUCUUACGGGUGGCGAGUGGCGAACGGGUGAGGAAUACAUCGGAAUCUACUUUUUCGUGGGGGAUAACGUAGGGAAACUUACGCUAAUACCGCAUACGACCUACGGGUGAAAGCAGGGGAUCUUCGGACCUUGCGCGAUUGAAUGAGCCGAUGUCGGAUUAGCUAGUUGGCGGGGUAAAGGCCCACCAAGGCGACGAUCCGUAGCUGGUCUGAGAGGAUGAUCAGCCACACUGGAACUGAGACGCGGUCCAGACUCCUACGGGAGGCAGCAGUGGGGAAUAUUGGACAAUGGGCGCAAGCCUGAUCCAGCCAUACCGCGUGGGUGAAGAAGGCCUUCGGGUUGUAAAGCCCUUUUGUUGGGAAAGAAAAGCAGCAGGUUAAUACCCCGCUGUUCUGACGGUACCCAAAGAAUAAGCACCGGCUAACUUCGUG
This 492-nucleotide ribosomal RNA is filed under the name uncultured bacterium. RNAcentral's name for it is "partial 16S ribosomal RNA". It matches the Rfam family "Bacterial small subunit ribosomal RNA", at positions 29 to 507 of the family's 1533-position model. The record is from RNAcentral.